UCUACAGGUUGUCUAUGAAAUAAGCCAUU
Molecule: non-coding RNA, 29 nt
Filed under: Mus musculus (house mouse)
Lineage: Eukaryota; Metazoa; Chordata; Mammalia; Rodentia; Muridae
Source: RNAcentral